This is a long non-coding RNA of Heterocephalus glaber (naked mole-rat), 1234 nucleotides long. NCBI's taxonomy places the organism in Eukaryota, Metazoa, Chordata, Mammalia, Rodentia, Bathyergidae. The record is from Ensembl.
CACUGUGCCAAUGAUGUUGCCUUGUGGGAUUUUCUAGCAAUGACAGGAGAAUCUACAUAUCUUUGAGCCCAUGGGUUUCUCUUUGGUCGUGACAGCCAGAGGAAAGAGACUCCUCCCUUAUUUCCAGAGAAUGGUAAAGAAGCAUUGCCAGCCAUGUUGGCACACAGCUGGAGUGGGAGGCUGAGGCAGAAGGAUCCCCUGUGGUCCUAGUCAAAACCUUGUGGAGAACUGUACAGAAAGGCCAUCCCAAGCCUCUGCCUGCAAGACGAGGGCAGUUUUGGUCCACAGCGGGUCUCCUGGCUGGCUGUAUCCCCAUCGCUGUUAUUCACCGUUUGGCAGCAGCAGGGCAGAGAGCCCAGCUCGCCAAGAGCUUGUUGGACUCCUGAGACCUGGUGGGAGGGCAUCACUUACGUCUGGUCAAGGAAACAAGAACAUAAUAAUCAGGAGUCCCAGGAUCUUACAGGAAGCAGGAGGAGCCAAGGAAAGAAGGGGAGAGAAAGGUGAUAAAUCCAGGCAAGGAUUGCUGUGGAGCAAAUGCCUGCCUUGGGCAAUAAAGACUCCGCAUCUCUGUCCCCGUUGUCGCCAGUCAAGAGACGAGACGCAGCUCAAGCUCAGACAACGGCUCCAGGCAGCAAAUCAAUGCCUAUAAAGUGAAAAGCCACCGGAGAUUUCUAGGCCACCAGAUGUGCAGUAUUUAGACAGAACAGCUGAAUCACCCAACACCUUCCUGGUUUUCCCUGAACCCCGCCGCGAAUCAUCUCACAAGACCCUGUGCAGAGGCCACCUCUGGUCCCCAGCGCUCCGAGGCACCCUUCCACGGCUCCCCAUUCCUGCCUCCUCCUGCAGCACACAGCAAAGGAACCUGGUGCUGGCCUGGUCCGGUGAUCUUUACCCGAGCAGGGCCUGGGGAAGAUGGGGAGACACCAGGCCAGAACUGCCAAGCAAUCUGCAGAAGUAAUUUUCUGAUGCAACCAAGGACAACAGGGGCACUUGGGAAGAGAGGUUCUGUUUUGCUCACUGCCCAGAAUAGUGCCUGGCACAUAGCAGCUGCUCACUAAACGAUUUUUGGAUGGAAAGAGAGUCCUGCAUAGGCGCUAGCAUACACACUGCCUCAUUUGGACCUCAGCCCCAUUUUACAGGGAUUGAACUCGGGACCUUUUGCUUGUGCUUGAGAGGCAGCUGGCAAAACCACUGAGCUAAAUCCUGGCCUGUUGGUUGAUUUCUUGAUAGCAGC